RNAcentral lists this ribosomal RNA (432 nucleotides) under Gammarus desperatus (Bitter Lakes amphipod). RNAcentral's name for it is "partial 16S ribosomal RNA". The stretch from base 135 to 432 matches the Rfam family "Bacterial large subunit ribosomal RNA", at positions 2073 to 2620 of the family's 2925-position model. Lineage: Eukaryota; Metazoa; Arthropoda; Malacostraca; Amphipoda; Gammaridae. The record is from RNAcentral.
UGGUAUUUUGACCGUGCUAAGGUAGCANAAUCAUUUGGCUUUNAAUUGAUAACUGGAAUGAAAGGUUGCUCUUAUUUUAAUUUUUGUAAAACUNAAAUAAUAAAUNAAAGUNAGGGUAAGAAUUCUUUAAUUUUCNAGGGGACGAUAAGACCCNAGAAGCUUAAUAUAGAGUUGUACUUANAGAAAAAGUUGAUUAUUUAUUUUACUGGGGCGGUAGGAGUAAACUUACUAUUUGCUNAAAAAAGAUCUUUAAAAUUAAGANAAUUGGGAUUAGUUACUCUAGGGAUAACAGUGCAAUUUUUUNAGAAAGACCUUAUUGAUGAANAAGUUUGCAACCUCGAUGUUGAAUUAAGAUGUCUAAGUGAGGUAAAAGGUACUAAAGAAAGGUUUGUUCAACCUUUAAAGUCUUACAUGAUCNGAGUUCAAACCGGA